AUGGCGCCGGGAAAGGUUUUUGGUGGGACUUGGUGGACAGAUUUGAUGGUUGUGGUUGCUGGGAUACAACGGGGUUGGUGGUGGUGGGGCUUGGAUAGCAGGUUUGAAGUUUAGAACCCUUAUUUAGGAUGAAGGGUGAAAGAGGGGUUUAUAAAGUGGGAGGAAUCAGAGGUAAAAGGACAUAAAUGCCCUCACGUGCUAAGCACAUGAUUAGAGUUAACUGAAAUUUCUAACCUGGUUUGGGGUAAAGGACGAAACAUGCAACGGGUUUUCAAAAUAAAGGAUUGUGAUUGUAAUUAUUGAAGUUAAAGGCUAUCCGUUGCAAUUCGGUACAAACAUAAAGGACGAAAAGUGUAAUUUACCCCCCUAAAUUUCACAUUUUAAGAAUUAUAAACGCAGAAACAUCAAACAUCCCAAAUCAGAAGGAAACAUUCAUGCAAAACUACAUCUCAAAUAAGUAAUCCCCGAGUUAAUACAUCUUCAAAAUCAAAGAAAAUCCAUUGAUACAAACAACUCUAGAUCGAUCGAUAAUCAAGCCCACAGGAAUGACAAAAAGGCCACAAGUAAAAGCAUCAAGUAACGCGUAGGAAGAAUUUUGUAAACAGAAUUUACAUCAUUACUGCCAGGCGAAUACCCGCCUUCCGGGGUGUUUGUAGUCAACACAACGACAAUCCAAUCAUCUUCAGAACCGAUCCCGACUCCAGUAUACUUGGUGUCAUUUAAGGAGCCCGAAUACUGGGAGCGGGUGUAGUUGGAAAGUACAAGGAUGGGAUCAAGAUUAGGAACACAAGCAGGAAGGAUAGUCCCAUCUCUGGUAGUGCUGACAUUCAAGUGGCAUUUGGUUAAAAGGUCUGGAUAAUUGGCAAAUUCUGGUUCGGUUCCGGCUACAGUGUUGGAGCCGGUUGUGUUUGUACACGGUUGGUUUUUAAAUUGGUCGGCAAUUUUAUCAGCUAGGCAUUUGGCUCGGUCAUUUUCUGUUAGAGUUGUUAAGUUUAGGGUUGCUCUGUAGCUAUUGAUUCCAGAAAGAAGGCUGUCUUCUUCAUCU
RNAcentral lists this long non-coding RNA (1045 nucleotides) under Helianthus annuus (common sunflower). Its description in RNAcentral is "hypothetical non coding rna". Lineage: Eukaryota; Viridiplantae; Streptophyta; Magnoliopsida; Asterales; Asteraceae. The record is from RNAcentral.